Molecule: small nuclear RNA, 90 nt
Organism: Bos indicus x Bos taurus (hybrid cattle)
Lineage: Eukaryota; Metazoa; Chordata; Mammalia; Artiodactyla; Bovidae
Source: Ensembl
UUGCUUCAGCAGCACAUAUACUAAAAUUGGAAUGAUACAGAAGCUUUGCCCAAGGAUGACAUGCAAAUUCGUGAAGCAUUCCAUAUAUUU